AUGGUCAAUGGCCUAACGGCUGAACCAGCAAUUUGGGGGAAUGUAUGGUAUUUAUAUCAAUAUAUGCAUGCUGAGGUAUGUAUAUAUAUUGACUAUGUCAAAUCAAGUUCUAGAUAGAUAACUGAUAAUGACAAAUUUCUAUCUAUAUGUCUUGACCAAGUCUUGUGCCAGCAGUCGCGGCAAUACAAGGAAGACUAGUGUUAUUCAUCUUUAUUAGGUUUAAAGGGUACCUAGACGGUUUUGAUAGCUCCAAAAGAGUACGUCAAAACUAGAGUUUGAUAGGAGAGGUAAAUAUUAGGGCUAUUGGUGUAGAGAUGAAAUUCUUUGAUACUAAUAGAACGGAUAAAGGCGAAGGCAACCCUCUAUAUAUAAACUGACGUUGAGGGACGAAGGCUUGGGGAGCAAAUAGGAUUAGAUACCCUAGUAGUCCAGGCAGAAAAUUAUGAAUGUUAUAGACUGAAUAUAAAGUUGGUGUAUAAAUGAAAGUGUAAGCAUUCCACCUCAAGAGUAAUGUGGCAACACAGGAACUGAAAUCAUUAGACCGUUUCUGAAACCAGUAGUGAAGUAUGUUAUUUAAUUCGAUGACCCUCGAUAAACCUUACCACAAUUUGAAUAUUAUUUGUUGUAAAUCCUUUAGGGGUAUCAAAUAUUACAGGCGUUGCACGGCUGUCUUCAGUUAAUGUCGUGAGAUUUUGGUUAGAUUCAUUAAAUUAACGUAAAACCCUUGCUCCACAGCGACUUAUGGUUUAAAUAUUAUUAGUAAUAAUAAAAUUGCAGCUAUAUAUAUCGCAAUUUGUGAAGCAGUUCACCGCUAUAUUGGAUACGAUAACAGGACCAAGACAGUCAUCAUGACCUUAAUAUUGUGGGCU
Molecule: ribosomal RNA, 869 nt
Filed under: Monticola elongata
Lineage: Eukaryota; Fungi; Ascomycota; Dothideomycetes; Mycosphaerellales; Teratosphaeriaceae
Description: mitochondrial SSU rRNA
Rfam family: Bacterial small subunit ribosomal RNA
Source: RNAcentral